GUUUCUCCAUGGGUGGGGAUUUGUUGCAUUACUUGUAGCUGUAUGGAGAGUAUUGCACUUGUCCCGGCCUGUGGAGGAAAG
Molecule: microRNA precursor, 81 nt
Filed under: Charadrius vociferus (killdeer)
Lineage: Eukaryota; Metazoa; Chordata; Aves; Charadriiformes; Charadriidae
Description: mir-92 microRNA precursor family
Rfam family: mir-92 microRNA precursor family
About the family: This family represents the microRNA precursor mir-92. Human miR-92 has two predicted hairpin precursor sequences: mir-92-1 on chromosome 13 and mir-92-2 on chromosome X. miR-92 has also been cloned from mouse embryonic stem cells. The mature sequence is excised from the 3' arm of the hairpin.
Source: Rfam by way of RNAcentral